This 497-nucleotide ribosomal RNA is filed under the name uncultured bacterium. RNAcentral's name for it is "partial 16S ribosomal RNA". It matches the Rfam family "Bacterial small subunit ribosomal RNA", at positions 28 to 507 of the family's 1533-position model. The record is from RNAcentral.
GAUGAACGCUGGCGGCGUGCCUAAUACAUGCAAGUCGAGCGAACAGACGAGAAGCUUGCUUCUCUGACGUUAGCGGCGGACGGGUGAGUAACACGUGGAUAACCUACCUAUAAGACUGGGAUAACUUCGGGAAACCGGAGCUAAUACCGGAUGAUAUAUUGAACCGCAUGGUUCAAAAGUGAAAGACGGUCUUGCUGUCACUUAUAGAUGGAUCCGCGCUGCAUUAGCUAGUUGGUAAGGUAACGGCUUACCAAGGCAACGAUGCGUAGCCGACCUGAGAGGGUGAUCGGCCACACUGGAACUGAGACACGGUCCAGACUCCUACGGGAGGCAGCAGUAGGGAAUCUUCCGCAAUGGGCGAAAGCCUGACGGAGCAACGCCGCGUGAGUGAUGAAGGUCUUCGGAUCGUAAAACUCUGUUAUUAGGGAAGAACAUAUGUGUAAGUAACUGUGCACAUCUUGACGGUACCUAAUCAGAAAGCCACGGCUAACUACGUG